AAUUAUUAUAUAUAAAACCAAAAUUUAUAUAAAAAUUUAUAUAAAAACUAUUUUAUCAAAAAAUAAAAAUAACUGAAAAGGAAAUAAUUUUUGUAAAAAAAAAACUUAUGGUACCUUUAGUAUCAGGGUAAAUUAAAUAAAUAAUAUAAAAUCUAUUUCCCGAAAUCAAUUGACCAAAAAUCUUAAAUUAAUAUUUAUAACAAAAAAUUUACUAAUAAAAUUUUAGAAGAAAAAUUCCAAUCAAAAUUGAUUAUAUCUGGUUUUCUAAGAAAUUAAUUUAAUUAAAGAAUAAAGACAAAAAUUAUUAUAUAAAAUAAUAUUCAUAAAAUAUUAAGGAUAAGCUUAAUAUAAAAUUAAAAUUUAUAAAUAACAAAUUAUUAUUAAGCUUAAAAUAAACAAUUUAGUUUUUAUUAGAUUAAAAUGAUUAAAUAAUAUUUUAUUUAACUUAAAAAAUUAUUAGAAUUAAAAUAAAAAAUAAAUAAUUAAUUUAAAUAAUGAUUUAAUUAGUAUAAAAUCAUAAUAAACAUAAAAUGAACUCGACAAAAAUAGUUCUCAAAUGUUUAACAAAAACAUUUUUUUUAGAAAAUUAAAAAUAAAUUCUGCCCUAUGAAAAUUUAAAUGGCUGCAGUAUAAUGACUGUACAAAGGUAGCAUAAUAAUUAGUUUAUUAAUUAUAAACUGGAAUGAAUGAAUAAAUGAAAAACAAAUUUUAUUUUUAUUUUAAUUAUAAAUUUAUAUUUAAGUCAAAAAGCUUAAUUAAAUAUUAGGGACGAGAAGACCCUAUAGAACUUAAAUAUAUUUUUAAAAAACAAAAUUUAAGAAUAAGUUUUAAUUUUUGAAAAAUUGUUUUGUUGGGGUGACAAUUAAACUAUAAAAACUUUAAUUUUUUAAAUCACAAAUAAAUGUAUUUUUGAUCCAAAAUUAAUUGAUAAUAAGAAAAAGUUACCUUAGGGAUAACAGCGUAAUUUUAAUGGAAAGUUCAAAUUUAUAUUAAAGGUUGCGACCUCGAUGUUGAAUUAAGAUAAACUUAAGGGGUAGAUUCUUUAUGAAAUAGUCUGUUCGACUAAAUAUUCUUACAUGAUUUGAGUUAAGACCGGUGAAAGCCAGGUUGGUUUCUAUCUUAAUAAUAAAUUAUUUAUUAGUACGAAAGGACCAUAAAUAUCUAUUUAAAUAGAUUAAAUUUAAUA
Molecule: ribosomal RNA, 1186 nt
Filed under: Petalocephala chlorophana
Lineage: Eukaryota; Metazoa; Arthropoda; Insecta; Hemiptera; Cicadellidae
Description: 16S ribosomal RNA
Source: RNAcentral